Molecule: long non-coding RNA, 228 nt
Filed under: Elaeis guineensis (African oil palm)
Lineage: Eukaryota; Viridiplantae; Streptophyta; Magnoliopsida; Arecales; Arecaceae
Description: long non-coding RNA (EGUI_LNC058582)
Source: RNAcentral
ACUUCACCAAAUUAUGUAAAGGAUUAAACAUAAGCUGGUCUAAAGACACCUAAAUCAAUCACACUGAUUCACCUUAAUGGCAUGGGUCUGCACCAAUCAACUAGUAAUCUAAUUAAAACAUAAUCUACCAUGUUGGCCAGGCAAGUGAGAUCAGCAGGAGGGAUUUGUCCUUAACUCAUCGUAGAUGCAUCUAGGUGAAUAGCUCUCAAUUAAAAAUCAUCUGAUCGA